CCUACGGGCGGCUGCAGUGGGGAAUAUUGGACAAUGGAGGGAACCCUGAUCCAGCCAUGCCGCGUGUGUGAAGAAGGCCCUCGGGUUGUAAAGCACUUUCAGUGAGGAAGAACGCCUGGUGGUUAAUACCCAUCAGGAAAGACAUCACUCACAGAAGAAGCACCGGCUAACUCCGUGCCAGCAGCCGCGGUAAUACGGAGGGUGCGAGCGUUAAUCGGAAUUACUGGGCGUAAAGCGCGCGUAGGUGGCUUGAUAAGCCGGUUGUGAAAGCCCCGGGCUCAACCUGGGAACGGCAUCCGGAACUGUCAAGCUAGAGUGCAGGAGAGGAAGGUAGAAUUCCCGGUGUAGCGGUGAAAUGCGUAGAGAUCGGGAGGAAUACCAGUGGCGAAGGCGGCCUUCUGGACUGACACUGACACUGAGGUGCGAAAGCGUGGGUAGCAAACAGGAUUAGAUACCCGUGUAGUC
RNAcentral lists this ribosomal RNA (465 nucleotides) under Vreelandella stevensii. Its description in RNAcentral is "partial 16S ribosomal RNA". It matches the Rfam family "Bacterial small subunit ribosomal RNA", at positions 338 to 795 of the family's 1533-position model. Lineage: Bacteria; Pseudomonadati; Pseudomonadota; Gammaproteobacteria; Oceanospirillales; Halomonadaceae. The record is from RNAcentral.